ACGAACGCUGGCGGCGUGCCUAAUACAUGCCAGUUGAGCGCUGAAGGUUGGUACUUGUACCAACUGGAUGAGCAGCGAACGGGUGAGUAACGCGUGGGGAAUCUGCCUUUGAGCGGGGGACAACAUUUGGAAACGAAUGCUAAUACCGCAUAAAAACUUUAAACACAAGUUUUAAGUUUGAAAGAUGCAAUUGCAUCACUCAAAGAUGAUCCCGCGUUGUAUUAGCUAGUUGGUGAGGUAAAGGCUCACCAAGGCGAUGAUACAUAGCCGACCUGAGAGGGUGAUCGGCCACAUUGGGACUGAGACACGGCCCAAACUCCUACGGGGGGCAGCAGUAGGGAAUCUUCGGCAAUGGACGAAAGUCUGACCGAGCAACGCCGCGUGAGUGAAGAAGGUUUUCGGAUCGUAAAACUCUGUUGGUAGAGAAGAACGUUGGUGAGAGUGGAAAGCUCAUCAAGUGACGGUAACUACCCAGAAAGGGACGGCUAACUACGUG
Molecule: ribosomal RNA, 496 nt
Filed under: uncultured bacterium
Lineage: Bacteria
Description: partial 16S ribosomal RNA
Rfam family: Bacterial small subunit ribosomal RNA
Source: RNAcentral